GACUCGUAGCGGCGUGCUUACACAUGCAAGUCGUAACCGAAGGUAACGCUGUAAGGGCGGGGAUUAGUGGCGAACGGGUGAGUAACACGUGGGCAAUCUGCCCUGCACUCUGGGACAAGCCCUGGAAACGGGGUCUAAUACCGGAUAUGACUGUCCGCCGCAUGGUGGAUGGUGUAAAGCUCCGGCGGUGCAGGAUGAGCCCGCGGCCUAUCAGCUUGUUGGUGAGGUAGUGGCUCACCAAGGCGACGACGGGUAGCCGGCCUGAGAGGGCGACCGGCCACACUGGGACUGGUAGACCACGGCCCAGACUAAUACGGUGAGGCAGCUAGGUGUGGGCAACAUUCCACAAUGUCCGUGCCGAAAGCCUAACGCAUUAAGCGACCCCGCCUGAGGGAGUGACGGCCGUCAAGGCUAUAAACCUCAAAGGAAUUCACGCAGGCCCGAACAAGCGACGGAGCAUGACGGCUUAACUGCAGAAGCAAGCGCCGAAGCUAACCUUACCAAGUGCCAGACAGACACGCGGUAAUACGUAGGGAGACAAGCGCCCCCUUGUCGUCGGAAUGUACAGGUGCGUAAAUGAGCUCGUAGGCAGCUCGUGUCACGUCAGAUGUUGGGAUAAGUCCCGCAACGAGCGCUUAACCCCGGGUCCGCAGUCGAUACCAGCAGGCCCUAGAGUUCGGUAGCUGGGAGACUCACGGGAGAUUCCUGCCGUAGCGGUCA
RNAcentral lists this ribosomal RNA (720 nucleotides) under Streptomyces sp. RNAcentral's name for it is "bacterial SSU rRNA". It matches the Rfam family "Bacterial small subunit ribosomal RNA", at positions 26 to 1165 of the family's 1533-position model. The record is from RNAcentral. Lineage: Bacteria; Bacillati; Actinomycetota; Actinomycetes; Kitasatosporales; Streptomycetaceae.